CCGAGAACUUACUCUGGUUGCGGACAAGGAGGAUAAUAAUUCAUCCUUAAUGAUUGCAUCCCGUUUUCAAACAGCUCUUUCAUGUCAUUGGGAUCCAUUCUUAGAGCUUUAGCCAUUAGGUCAAGGAUUUUCAAGGUAAGAUUUUUAAGUUCCGUUAAGUAAACUUCCAAGUCAUCUCCGCAUGCAAAUAAUAAUAUAUAGUCCAGUAAUUAUCAUAAGAUAGAAUAUACUAUAUAAGAAAAGUCUAAAAUUUAAGUAUAGAACCUGAAUGGAAGAGGCAACUUGGGGAACAAGUGGGGUUUCCUCAGAUGGGUUGGGAGAGUGAACAUAGUAAAGCCGUAUCCCCAAUCAAGCUUCUGCUCUUCAGACGUAAUAAAAAGCUGCCCAAAUCCCUCAACAUCUCCUGGCUGCUGCCAAAACUUCUUUUUCUCAUCAAUUGGAAGAUUAAAGAAUUCUUGAAUCUCUGCUUUCACUUUCUCCACCAAUGAACUGCUCACUCCAUGAUUCAUCAACCGCAUAUAUGCAAAUUAAAGCAAGAUGUUCUUUCCAUAUAUACAUGGUUCAUAAAGGAAAUUUUGAAGUUCUGGAAACAAAAUGAUUUUUAUGGAAAAUGCUAAAGAAACGGAGAGCUGAUAAAAUGCUGACAAAAACAACGAUAAAUUAGUCUGUUUAAUGGGUUUACAAUCAAGUGACUAAUCCGGUACUGAUUUACUUUGUUUUUUGUAAACGUUUUGUCUAAUUUUUAUUAUCUGAAUAUCACUGCUAAAUUGUUAUGUACCUGAAAGAAACCCCAGUCUUUACAUGCAUGGUUCAUAUAGGGAACUUAAAGCUCAGGAAGUAAAAUUAUUUUUAUGGAAAAUGUAAAAACACUGAGACCUGAAAAAACGCUAACAAAAGCAAUGAUUUGCAAUCAAUUAAGUAUUUUUAUUAUAUGAAUAUCACUGCUCAAUUAUUAUGUACCUGAAAGAAACCCCACUCUUUACAUGCAUGGUCAAGCUUCUCAAGCUCUGAGUCAUCCCCAGAGAGCAACGUGUGCAUGUCAAUGACUGGAAGUUGUUGUGCUGAAGAAUCGUCGUUGCGAAUCAAGGGAUGGUCUAUCUCAGGGAGAACAUAACGUGGCGGAACAGUUGUCAGUGGCAGAUUAUUUGCCAGCUCCAGAAUCGAAGGCUCCACGAGAGAAUUCCCAAUAACUGUUGCUUUUGCCUCCAUGUUAUAUAGAUUUAGAUUAACUGAUUUCUAGCUAUUACCUUUUUGUUUUCUUCUACUCUUCUGCAGACUUAGCUAGUAUGUGUUUUGACAAGAAACUCAUAUAUAAAUAG
RNAcentral lists this long non-coding RNA (1319 nucleotides) under Citrus maxima (pomelo). RNAcentral describes it as "long non-coding RNA (CMAX_LNC001490)". Lineage: Eukaryota; Viridiplantae; Streptophyta; Magnoliopsida; Sapindales; Rutaceae. The record is from RNAcentral.